UACGUAGGGAGCAAGCGUUGUCCGGAUUUACUGGGUGUAAAGGGUGCGUAGGCGGCUUUACAAGUCAGGCGUGAAAUAUAUGGGCUUAACCCAUAGACUGCGUUUGAAACUGUAGAGCUUGAGUAAGGUAGAGGUAGGCGGAAUUCCCGGUGUAGCGGUGAAAUGCGUAGAGAUCGGGAGGAACACCAGUGGCGAAGGCGGCCUACUGGGCCUUAACUGACGCUGAGGCACGAAAGCAUGGGUAGCAAACAGG
Molecule: ribosomal RNA, 253 nt
Filed under: uncultured bacterium
Lineage: Bacteria
Description: partial 16S ribosomal RNA
Rfam family: Bacterial small subunit ribosomal RNA
Source: RNAcentral